Molecule: ribosomal RNA, 548 nt
Filed under: uncultured bacterium
Lineage: Bacteria
Description: partial 16S ribosomal RNA
Rfam family: Bacterial small subunit ribosomal RNA
Source: RNAcentral
UGGGGAAUUUUGGACAAUGGGGGAAACCCCUGAUCCAGCAAUGCCGCGUGUGUGAAGAAGGCCUUCGGGUUGUAAAGCACUUUUGUCCGGGAAGAAAUCCCCUGCCCUAAUACGGCGGGGGGAUGACGGUACCGGAAGAAUAAGCACCGGCUAACUACGUGCCAGCAGCCGCGGUAAUACGUAGGGUGCGAGCGUUAAUCGGAAUUACUGGGCGUAAAGCGUGCGCAGGCGGUGAUGUAAGACCGAUGUGAAAUCCCCGGGCUCAACCUGGGAACUGCAUUGGUGACUGCAUUGCUCGAGUAUGGCAGAGGGGGGUGGAAUUCCACGUGUAGCAGUGAAAUGCGUAGAGAUGUGGAGGAACACCGAUGGCGAAGGCAGCCCCCUGGGCCAAUACUGACGCUCAUGCACGAAAGCGUGGGGAGCAAACAGGAUUAGAUACCCUGGUAGUCCACGCCCUAAACGAUGUCAACUGGUUGUCGGGCCUUCAUUGGCUUGGUAACGUAGCUAACGCGUGAAGUUGACCGCCUGGGGAGUACGGUCGCAAGAUU